Molecule: ribosomal RNA, 301 nt
Filed under: uncultured bacterium
Lineage: Bacteria
Description: partial 16S ribosomal RNA
Rfam family: Bacterial small subunit ribosomal RNA
Source: RNAcentral
CAGCCGCCGCGGUAAUACGAAGGGUGCAAGCGUUAAUCGGAAUUACUGGGCGUAAAGCGUGCGUAGGCGGUGAGUUAAGUCUGUUGUGAAAUCCCCGGGCUCAACCUGGGAAUGGCAAUGGAUACUGGCGAGCUAGAGUGUGUCAGAGGAUGGUGGAAUUCCCGGUGUAGCGGUGAAAUGCGUAGAUAUGCGGAGGAACACCGAUGGCGAAGGCAGCCCCCUGGGCCAACACUGACGCUCAUGCACGAAAGCGUGGGGAGCAAACAGGAUUAGAUACCCCUGUAGUCCCUGUCUCUUAUAC